UGCAAGUCGACUGGAAUUCACCUUCGGGUGAUAGUACGGUGGCGGACGGGUGAGUAACGCGUAAAGAACUUGCCCUCUAGACUGGGACAACUGUUGGAAACGACAGCUAGGAUAUUAUGAGAUUCUCGCAUGGGAAACUUAUGAAAGGCUAUAUGCGCUAGAGGAGAGCUUUGCGUGCCAUUAGGUAGUUGGUAGGGUAAUGGCCUACCAAGCCGACGAUGGCUAGCCGGCCUGAGAGGGUGAUCGGCCACAAGGGGACUGAGACACGGCCCUUACUCCUACGGAGCAGCAGUGGGGAAUAUUGGACAUGGAC
This 313-nucleotide ribosomal RNA is filed under the name uncultured Propionigenium sp. RNAcentral describes it as "bacterial SSU rRNA". It matches the Rfam family "Bacterial small subunit ribosomal RNA", at positions 56 to 376 of the family's 1533-position model. The record is from RNAcentral. Lineage: Bacteria; Fusobacteriati; Fusobacteriota; Fusobacteriia; Fusobacteriales; Fusobacteriaceae.